UACGAAGGGGGCUAGCGUUGUUCGGAUUUACUGGGCGUAAAGCGCACGUAGGCGGUUCGUUAUGUCGGAUGUGAAAGCCCCUUGGCUUAACCGAGGAAGUGCAUCCGAAAACUGGCGAGCUAGAGUACUAAAGAGGAUCGCGGAAUUCCCGGUGUAGAGUGAAAUUCGUAGAUAUCGGGAGGAACACCGGUGGCGAAGGCGGCGAUCUGGGUAGAUACUGACGCUGAGGUGCGAAAGCGUGGGGAGCAAACAGGG
RNAcentral lists this ribosomal RNA (255 nucleotides) under uncultured bacterium. RNAcentral describes it as "partial 16S ribosomal RNA". It matches the Rfam family "Bacterial small subunit ribosomal RNA", at positions 524 to 777 of the family's 1533-position model. The record is from RNAcentral.